GUUGAGGGACGGUUUGUUGAUUUUUUUUGGAAUAGGGUGUGGUACCUUUUGCAUCAUGAUUCGCUGAAGUAGUGUUAAGAAGUUAGAGGCUCGAAGGGUCACGAUUAUCAUUCAAUAUGUUUGGGACGUUAUAGCUAGGUGGGUAAUUUUCUAGAUAGUUGUUUGAAGUGUUGAAAAAUAAUUCGUGUGAUCUAAUAGCUAGUUGGGAAGGAGUUUUGUAUGUUAUGUUUUAUUGCGAAGCGGUGAUAAAAUAGUUAAGAAAUAGAUUAUGAUGUGGUGAAGGACUUAAGGUCAGAGUUACCUUUGGUUUAGUAGUAUGUUAUUAUAAGUUGUUUGUAGUGUUAUUGUUUUUAGUUGUGUACUUUCUUAUAUUAAUUAGUUGAUGAUUAAUGGUGGAAUAAGUAGAAUUGGUAAUACCUCCUUUUUUUCUCGGUGCUUGUCGGUCUGUUUUUCAAAAACAUUUCCAUUUGUGGUGGUUAAAUGGUAGGACCUGCCCUAUGUUUGUAUAAAUGGC
RNAcentral lists this ribosomal RNA (514 nucleotides) under Calicophoron daubneyi. Its description in RNAcentral is "partial large subunit ribosomal RNA". The record is from RNAcentral. Lineage: Eukaryota; Metazoa; Platyhelminthes; Trematoda; Plagiorchiida; Paramphistomidae.